Molecule: long non-coding RNA, 420 nt
Organism: Pezoporus occidentalis (night parrot)
Lineage: Eukaryota; Metazoa; Chordata; Aves; Psittaciformes; Psittacidae
Exons: 3
Source: RefSeq, a predicted model, not a curated record
AGUCUGAGCAUGUUCCAGUGGUUCUGCUCUCCCAGUGCACAUCAUCUGCAGCAACCAGAAUCAGCCAAAACAGGCUCUCAUAGGUUGGGAGUUUCUCACAGCAUGAUCAACCACCUUCCCAGCAAAUCACAGGUGUUCUCCACAUGGCGUGAGCAGGAGGGGAAACUUCUCAGCAGAAACAUGAAAGUUGAAGUGCUUUGAAGUAUAUUGUUCUACAUGCCUAACGGGACAGAAGAGCUAUGGAAAACUGCCUCACAAGAAGGUUUUUUAGGUGGAGAUAAACAUGAAAGCUGUAUUUCCAGGAUACCAUGCUGAGAUGCUGAUUUUUGUUGGAAGACCACACUCUAAAUCGUGCUGAAAUGGGAUGCAGCAUGGGAGCCAUCAUAAUCAGGGCUCCACCACUGAAGCCUAGGAACAGUU